Molecule: ribosomal RNA, 253 nt
Filed under: uncultured prokaryote
Description: partial 16S ribosomal RNA
Rfam family: Bacterial small subunit ribosomal RNA
Source: RNAcentral
UACAGAGGGGGCAAGCGUUGUUCGGAAUUACUGGGCGUAAAGGGCGCGUAGGCGGCCUGCUAAGUCGAACGUGAAAUCCCUCAGCUUAACUGGGGAACUGCGUGUGAGACUGGCAGGCUCGAGUGCAGGAGAGGAACGCGGAAUUCCAGGUGUAGCGGUGAAAUGCGUAGAUAUCUGGAGGAACACCGGUGGCGAAGGCGGCGUUCUGGACUGUAUCUGACACUGAGGAACGAAAGCCAGGGGAGCAAACGGG